Molecule: long non-coding RNA, 365 nt
Filed under: Mustela putorius furo (domestic ferret)
Lineage: Eukaryota; Metazoa; Chordata; Mammalia; Carnivora; Mustelidae
Description: lncRNA (ENSMPUG00000030174.1)
Source: RNAcentral
GCUCUAUUCACUUGUGAUCAAGUUUUUGUAUACACGUAAGUUCUCAUUUGGGGGCUAAAACCUAGGAGCCGGGUUGCUGAGUCACAUGGUGUAUGCAUGUUUAACUUCGUAAGAAUCUGGCAAAGCCUUCUCCAGAGGGGUCAGACCAUUUUAGAUGCCCACCAACAAUGCACAAGGGGCGUGUUGGUUUGUGAGACGGAAUCUGCAAACAGCGGCCAGACGGAGACGACGGAGAGCCCCAACCCACACCCCCUUGGCCACAGCCUGGCCCCAGUGGUCCAGACCUGAUCGCUCCAGCCCGAUGCUUUCCCAUGUGACGUGUUCCUCCCAUAAAUCAGCCCGGAGAAUAAAGAAUGUGUACAAAC